Molecule: long non-coding RNA, 2112 nt
Organism: Glycine soja
Lineage: Eukaryota; Viridiplantae; Streptophyta; Magnoliopsida; Fabales; Fabaceae
Exons: 2
Source: RefSeq, a predicted model, not a curated record
CAAAUAACUGAAUAAGUAGAGUAAAUCUAUCAAGCAAUCAUCAUCAGAACUGAUGGAUAAUCCCUACUAAUAUCAUCAAGAAAACUCAUGGAUAGUCCCUACUAAUAUCAUGAUAUCAUGGUAAGUCAAAAAUCUAUGUCAUGCACCAUAACAAUAAAAAAUAAAAUAAAAAAAAUCAGUUGCUAUAAGCCAACCCAAGAAAGAAAAAUUAUUCCUUUUUCUGGGUUACUAAUUGCUAAUUCACGGGCCCAAAUUAAACAUCCUAUGUAGGUUCUUUAUUGAAAGACAAUACUAUUCGAGACAGGGUCGGACACUUAAUGAAAAGAUCUCUCCGAGCGGAAAUUCAAACUUUUAUUUUUGUUCAGCACAUAAAUACAAUGACAUUAUUGUAAGAUAUAAAUGAUAUGAUAAUAUGAGUGAGAUGAAAACAAAGUUACUAGGAGUUGGGGAUUGGAGAGCUGACAUAGGGUUAAUCUCCUUGCAGCAGAAGAAACUGACGUGAAGACACAAGAGGAUAACUGGGAAGCCGAGAAAGCACCUGAAGUGGACCAACCAUCAAAUUCCUUUCUGCUUCUCCUGAAUGGAAUUGGAGUAUUUUCUUCCGGUGUGUUGGGUGCUCUCUAUAAACUUGCUCAGAAAGAAAAGUCCACUGUUGUUGCAACAAUAGAAACAGUAAGCUUAUAUGCACUCUUAGGAGUAAAUGUAAUGUCAUGGAGAAGGAAUACAAUGACCUAAAGUUCAGUGCUGAAAAGAAGGGUGCUUUGGACUCUCUAAGGUUUUAAGAGAAAAAGAAGAGGAGCUUCAUCAGCUAAAGGAUCAGUUUGAACUUGCCCUAGGUGAAGCAAGCAAAAGCCAGAUCGUCAUUGCUGAUUUAUCCCAAGAAAGAGAUGAUUUGAAGGAGGCUCUAGAUAAUGAAUCUAGCAAGGUGAAUCAUUUGAAGCAUGAACUCCAAGUUACCCAGGAGAAUCUUGCAAAAUCAAGAAAUGAGUCUGCUGAAUUGGAAAACCUUCUAACUUUGUCAAAUAAACUGUGCAAAGAGCUCGAGCUCGAGGUCUCUAAGCUCUCGUCUGAGCUCACUGAGGUUAAUGAAUCGCUACAGAGAAACCUUGAUGAUGUGAAACAUGAGGCAAAUUGCUAGCAAGUGAGCUUACAACUGCCAAGGAACACUUGAGGGAAGCACAAGCAGAGCUGCAAGGUGUGUCAAAAGAAUUGACAGCUGCUCUUGAAAAGAAUGAUAGCCUACAAAAAGAAUUAGUUGAAGUCUACAAAAAGGCUGAAAGCACAGCAGAGGAUUUGAAGGAACAAAAACAGUUAGGUUGCUUCUCUGAACAAAGAUUUACGAGCAUUAGAGCAGCAAGUCUCAAAAGACAAGGAGUCCCGAAAAUCUCUUGAGGGGGACCUGGAGGAGGCGACCAAAUCAUUAGAUGAAAUGAACCGAAAUGCGGUGAUCCUUUCUGGGGAACUACAGAGAGCUAAUUCUCUUGUUUCUAGCCUUGAAAAAGAGAAAGAUGUGCUUAUUAAGUUCCUAAACGACCAAAGAAAUGCAUGCAAAGAGGCCCAAGACAACAUUGAAGGUGCUCAUAACCUUAUCAUGAAACUUGGCAAAGAAAGAGAGAAUUUAGAGAAAAAAGGUAAGAAAUUUGAGGAGGAAUUGGCUUCUGCCAAGGGUGAGAUAUUGUGCUUGAAGAGUCGAAUCAAUUCUUCAAAAGUUGCUGUUAACAAUGACCAAGUGCAGAAAGAUGGAGGUGAAAACAAAGGUCAAUUCAUCAGAAGUUGCUGUUAAAAAUGGCCCAGUGCAGAAAGAUGGAGGUGAAAAAAAGGUCAAUUCUUCAAAAGUUGCGGUUAACAGUGAGCAAGCACAGAAAGAUGAAGGUGAAAACAAGGUUACUGUAAGCGCACGGAAGACUGUCAGAAGAAGAAAGGCUAAUCCACAAUAACAGAGAAAUUAGAGAGAUUUCUAUUAAAAAUAUUCCGAUUAGGAUCAUGAUAUUCUGUAAUAAACUAUUUGGAAGUCAUUUGAUGCCGAACUCUAUUCACUUUUGGCAUGCAAAUAUUUUCAUGUUGCAAUAGUAUUGUACAAAUGAAAUGACACAGUAGGAAUUGUUAAGCUAA